This 659-nucleotide unclassified non-coding RNA is filed under the name Hevea brasiliensis (rubber tree). Lineage: Eukaryota; Viridiplantae; Streptophyta; Magnoliopsida; Malpighiales; Euphorbiaceae. The record is from RNAcentral.
CAACGAUUGUGAGGCACAAGAUGGAUAACUGCCGGGUUGAGUACAGAUAAAGCAUUAAACAUAGUACUAAACAAAAAAACUUGAAUAACUUGAAUCCCCAGAAUAACUCCUUAGUUUCUCUUAGUAAUCACCAAAAACUUGCUUCUAAGCCACGAGGGUGCUGGCCGUGGUGGAUUCAUACUUCCAAACAGGGGGAAGCUUCUUUGUCUUCUUGUAAUACCGAGCCAGGCGAUGGAUCCUGCUCUCCACCAAAAUCAACCUGAACUUCGAAUCCUUGUCUUUCCUGUUCCUCUCCAAAUGCUUUCUGAUUGAAACAGCUUUCUUGAUGAGAUGGUAAAGAUCCUCCGGGAUUUCAGGUGCUAGACCAUGAGCCUUCAAUAUGCGCAAAAUCUUGCUCCCAGUUACACUCUUGACCUGAGCAAUCCCAUGAGAAUCACGGAGAAUAACACCAAUUUGAGAUGGUGUCAAACCCUUCUUGGCAAAUUUGCAAAUGUUUUCGGCAACAUCCUGCGAAGAGAUCUUCAACCAACUUGGCGGCGUCCUCUUGUAAGGCAGUGCCGAAGCUGAAAUACCCUUACCUCGACUAUGCAUACGACCCAUUGCGACGGCGCGUGGAGAAGAGACGGCUUGCGAUCUUCAGAGGUUGAACUACAACUUCG